RNAcentral lists this ribosomal RNA (253 nucleotides) under uncultured bacterium. RNAcentral describes it as "partial 16S ribosomal RNA". It matches the Rfam family "Bacterial small subunit ribosomal RNA", at positions 524 to 776 of the family's 1533-position model. The record is from RNAcentral.
UACGUAGGGGCAAGCGUUGUCCGGAAUCAUUGGGCGUAAAGCGCGUGUAGGCGGCUAGAUAAGUCUGCUCUGAAAGCCCGGGGCUCAACCCCGGGAGGCGGGUGGAUACUGUCUAGCUCGAGUCCGGAAGAGGAGUGUGGAAUUCCUGGUGUAGCGGUGAAAUGCGCAGAUAUCGAGGAGAACACCAAUUGCGAAGGCAGCUCGCUGGGACGUUACUGACGCUGGAGACGCGAAAGCGUGGGGAGCAAACAGG